This 253-nucleotide ribosomal RNA is filed under the name uncultured bacterium. RNAcentral's name for it is "partial 16S ribosomal RNA". It matches the Rfam family "Bacterial small subunit ribosomal RNA", at positions 524 to 776 of the family's 1533-position model. The record is from RNAcentral.
UACGUGGGGGGCAAGCGUUGUCCGGAUUUAUUGGGCGUAAAGAGCGUGUAGGCGGCCAGGUAGGUCUGCUGUGAAAACUCGAGGCUUAACCUCGAGCUGUCGGCGGAAACCAUCUGGCUAGAGUCCGGAAGAGGAGAAUGGAAUUCCCGGUGUAGCGGUGAAAUGCGCAGAUAUCGGGAAGAACACCCGUGGCGAAGGCGGUUCUCUGGGACGGUACUGACGCUGAGACGCGAAAGCGUGGGGAGCGAACAGG